AGUAGCUCAAUGGUAGAGCGGUUGGCUGUUAACCAAUAGGUUCUAGGUUCAAGUCCUAG
RNAcentral lists this transfer RNA (59 nucleotides) under marine eukaryotic metagenome. It matches the Rfam family "tRNA", at positions 8 to 63 of the family's 71-position model. Rfam says of the family: Transfer RNA (tRNA) molecules are approximately 80 nucleotides in length. The record is from RNAcentral.